Long non-coding RNA from Brassica rapa (field mustard), 3713 nucleotides. RefSeq lists it as uncharacterized. The record is from RefSeq and is a predicted model, not a curated record. NCBI's taxonomy places the organism in Eukaryota, Viridiplantae, Streptophyta, Magnoliopsida, Brassicales, Brassicaceae.
UAUUUUUAAUCGGUUGAACAAUCUACGUAAAAACGCAGAAUCAAAUACUUUUUUUUGCCAAAUUAUUGUUAGAUGAUUUGCUUUAUAUUGUCUUUCUUUUCUACAUGUCACCCUUUUUUUAUAAAGAAAAUUAGGAUGGAUGAUCAUCAACUAACUUGCCCUAGUUUAUCUUAGAUGAUUGUUUUACAAGUUAAAUAUUUGUUUCUUUGAAAUUAGGAGUCAGCCCUUCCCUUCAUCACUAGAUCAGUACGUACCGGUAUCUGACUCCCUUUAUUACAACGCAACCUCAAACUUUCUCAACGAUCUUUCAGUGUAUUUGAAUUUCUCUUAACCUAAUUAAUCUGAUUGCAAGUUUGACUUAUGAAAUUAAAAAGUAUACUCAGAUUUUGUUUACUCUGUACUUUCUAUUCAUACAAUAAAACAAAAGUGGAAAACAUUGAAGAGCUUUCUUUGUUUCCAAUCAGCAAUUUGGACAAAUGCACUUCUAGUUCUCUUUUUUUGUACCUACUAACAUUUUUAUUGUGUUUCGGAAGAAACAAUGAUGAGCAAAGUUUUUUCAGUUUAAGGUUGGUAAAUGGUACAUGUAAAUAAUGUAUCUAAGACAGAAACUUUGAAUUUUCAAAUAUAUAUUCCUAUCCAUUUUUUAUUCCACUCUGUUUGACUUUUUGCCCGCGCUAUAGUUUGAAUGCAAUACUUGCUUGGUUCAUACACACAUUUGCUAAAACACAAAGUAUAUGUAUGCGUAUAAUUAAGUAUUUUCCGAUGAUAUUGAAACCAGGUAGAAAAUUUUCAAUAAAGUUACUACAUAUAUUUUUUUCAGAUGAUCUAGUGGUGUAAGACUAUAUAUAAAUCAAUUACUGAAUAGUUUACCUAAAAAAAAAAGAGAAGACAAUAAUAUUUUAGCAAAAAAAAAAAGAAGAAGACAAUAAUAGUAUUUGAUUAAAAGGAAAAAUAUAAAGUAAUGGGUGUAAUGCUUAAUGAUAUAAGGUCGAUUCUGAGGGAAAGGGUGUGUCCAAAGGUGUAGGACAUCAAACAUGAAUAGGUACGGAGAGAAAGUGAUGUGUCCCCAAAAAGUAGCUCUGUUAUUAUGCAUUUCUGUUUUACCAAUCUUUCUUGGACUGACCUCUUCAGUCUUUCUUUCUCUCUUAUUUUUUUAUACUCUUAUUACUUUUUAGGUUUUUAUUUUCUGCGUCCACACAAAUAUUAAUGCACAUAUUGUGAUAUAAUAUUGGGCUAUUCAAGUAGAUGACUACAUAAGAAGUUGAAUGUAUCUCCUUUUCAUGCUUCCACCGUAGUAAGAAUAAGGAUGCUCAUGCCCUUGCUAAACAAGCCUUAUUUGUGGAAGCUAAUGUAUUGAACUCUGGGUUAUAUAACCUUUUGAGUGAAAGUUUGUGUUACAAUAAAAAAAACAUAAAAAGAUUUAGGGAAAUUCUUUUAAAUAGUCAUUUUUAAGUUUUUGUCAUAAAAAUAGUUCUCAAAAAGAAAAUGGCCAAAAUAGUCCUUUUUAUUUUAUUAUUUUUAAAAAAUUUGAAACUCUAUCCCCAAAACAUCACCCCUUAACUCUAACCUUUAAGUUUAGAUUAGUUAACCAUAGAAUAUUACCCUUUAGUAAAACUCUAGGUCUAAACUCUAAAUACAUUUUUACCCUUUAAUAAAACUUAUUUUGGUCAUUUUCUUCAUUGAAAGCUAUUUUUGUGACAAAAACUUAAAAAUUGAUAUCUUAGGGAAUUUCUCAAGGACUUUAACUAGGUAGAUAAAAAAAGAAACUUUUAUUUAAAACCCCAGAAACUUAGGCAUGGUUUAUAACUUUGAUAAGAUUAUAAAAUUAGUACUUGUCAUUCUCGAUCUUUAGCAGAUUUUUAUAUUCCUUUUUAUAAGAACUUGCUUACAAAUUCAGAGAUAAGCUCCAAAAACUCUACAUGUUGAAUGCUUCUGAUUCAAAAAGCUAGUCUUCAACCUCAAGCAAUAAUAGAGGUCAUAAUGUAAAGUUCUCAAUUUCCUCCAAAACAGAUUAUCAGACACAAUUCCUACUAAAAGACACAUAAUACAAAUCCAAAAUUUAAUUUAAACAGGAUACAAGUUUGCAAGUGAAAUACAAUAAAAAUGUCUUGGUUUCAGUUUCUUCCCAGUGAAACUGAACUGAAUCCUGGUUAUGGUAGAAAGUUAGUCAUACUUCGAGUUUUUUUUCAGUUGGGUGUUUUAGUUUUACUUUCUAACAUUUUACUGUACUAAUCAAAUCCAAAAGAUACUUGUGUUUUCCAUCACCUUGAAUAUGACAUUAAAUCUUGAUACUUGAUCCUUGCGGGAUUAGAUUUAUAGCGGUUUUAGAAUCCCUCCAUCUUCCAAGUAACUAGUAAAAUCUUAUGCGUCUAAUCUAUUGUUUGUUCUAUAUUGCUUCAGUUUUCUCUCACUAUUCAUAUUUUUUUCUUUUUCUUGUGUGCUUUGAUGAUUUUCAAAAGACUCUUUGUGUCGCUUCUUGAUCUCGCGAAUUCAUUCAUCAGAAUAGUUUAUAUAGUUAGUUGCUUACAAACACAAGAGCUUCUGUCAAAUUUCAAGUUCUAGUGAGAAACAUAUAAAAUAUAAUGAAACGUAUCAUUCUUGAUCAGAAGCAUCCUUAACCCCUUGAAUAUCAGAAGAUUGAAUCAAAUAUAUCAAGAGGGUAACCACUACAUUCAUAUUCAAUUUGGCAUCGUACAUAGAAAAGAGGCUGUCUGGUACUGUUAAAAAAGGUUAACCAUGUCAUAUAUUAGCCAUGCAUAACAAUGUUGACCCAAGAAACAGUUAUAAUAUUUUGAAAUAAUAUUUCAUGAAAGCAAUUAGGUUUAUAUAUAUAUAUAUAUAUAUAAUUAUUUCAUUAUCUAAUCUUUAUAUAUAAAGAAGACUUUGAAUCCCUCCCAGCUAUGCCACAUAGAAUGCCAACGCACAAAUUGAGUUCAGGAGCGUCCGACACGUGUCCCAUAUCAUUAAACUAUGCGUUUUAUUAAUUCAAAAAUUUCCUGUGAUUGGGCUUUUCAUUUGGGUUAUUUGCUGCUGUGUGUUUGGACUGCGAAAAAUGACGAGUUAUUCUUCCCACCUUUAAUAAACCAAACUUCUCUCAUCAGUUUCGUUUAAACAAGACCACCGUUCUGGUGGCCGGUGACUUUAGUCGCCGGUUACCAUCUCUUUUUGUUGUAUAAUAUCUUCGAUCAUUAGAUCGACUUAGUUUUCCGGAAUCAAUCUUUGCUCUGACUCACAAGCAAAGUCUCCUUGUUGAUAAAGAACAGAGAUGAUAGUUGAAGCAGUGGGAAAGACGGAGUCUGUAAAAGACGUUCCGACAAGGAUUUGUUGCUAUCUCCUUGAAGCUUCUCUCAAAGUUCACCUCUGGUAAAUUGAAGAAGAACUUCCAGGGAUUGACGGUGAUCAAGAGUUGUAGAAGCAAGCAAGUGGAACAAACUAUCCGGAGAGAGAGACCGGUGGAUUCGUACCGACAUGUAGCCGGCGAACCAUGGAUCAAUCUCACAGUUUCCAGAAAAUUCGAAGCUCCUGCAUAUGCUACACGUGUCUUGCAUUAAGUUAAUAUUAUCUUCUUAGCUUGGGCUUCAUAUUGGGCUUAAUUUCAAUUUUGUAAGGGAAUGGUUUGUCUAUUUGUAAUGGGUUUUCGUUUAAUAAAACGAAAUGGUUGACAAAAAAAAAAAAGAUAUUCUUCCCACCUUUCACUCACGUCAUUAAAUAUG